CCUACGGGUGGCAGCAGUGGGGGAUAUUGCACAAUGGGGGAAACCCUGAUGCAGCGACGCCGCGUGGGCGAAGAAGUAUUUCGGUAUGUAAAGCCCUAUCAGCCGGGAAGAAGAAAUGUCGGUACUUGAGUAAGAAGCACCGGCUAAAUACGUGCCAGCAGUCGCGGUAAAACGUAUGGUGCAAGCGUUAUCCGGAUUUACUGGGUGUAAAGGGAGCGCAGGCGGCACGGCAAGCCUGAUGUGAAAGCCCGCGGCCGAAGCGGGGGACUGCAUUGGGAACUACCGGGCUGGAGUGCCGGAGAGGUAGGCGGAAUUCGUGGUGUAGCGGUGAAAUGCGUAGAUAUUAGGAAGAACACCGGUGGCGAAGGCAGCCUACUGGACGGUGACUGACGCUGAGGCUCGAAAGCGUGGGGAGCAAACAGGAUUAGAUACCCCAGUAGUC
Molecule: ribosomal RNA, 442 nt
Filed under: uncultured bacterium
Lineage: Bacteria
Description: partial 16S ribosomal RNA
Rfam family: Bacterial small subunit ribosomal RNA
Source: RNAcentral